GCCUCCACAACCACUGCUGUUCAACCUACUUUCAGAAUCAUACCCACAACCACCAAUACCACCACAGCCCCCACAGCCACCACAACCACUGCUUUCGUACAUACUUCCACAGCCUCCCCCGCAGCCACCACUGCCACACCCCCCACAACCACCACUCUCUAAUUUGUUUCCACAACCAGCACCACAACUGCCGCAGGCCCCACUCCUCAUAACACUACCGGAACCACUACCACAACCACUGCCGCAGCCUCCACUAAUUGCUCCUUUUGCUGGUGCUGCAAUGUUUCCUUUGGUAGCCUCCAGGUCCAACGGCAUUCCCUUCUCUGCCUCAGAUCUCAGAUUAGCUUUGUUGCCUUCUUCAUGGCUCAUGUCAGUUUCUUGAGUUGAAAAAUCAAUCUCUUUGGAAUGUUUGGCACUGCCUACCAGGCUA
This 430-nucleotide long non-coding RNA is filed under the name Nicotiana benthamiana. Its description in RNAcentral is "long non-coding RNA (NBEN_LNC024852)". The record is from RNAcentral. Lineage: Eukaryota; Viridiplantae; Streptophyta; Magnoliopsida; Solanales; Solanaceae.